This 1197-nucleotide small RNA is filed under the name Pan troglodytes (chimpanzee). RNAcentral's name for it is "retained intron". Lineage: Eukaryota; Metazoa; Chordata; Mammalia; Primates; Hominidae. The record is from RNAcentral.
CUCCUCUCUCCGGUCCGUGCCUCCAAGAUGACAAAGAAAAGAAGGAACAACGGUCGUGCCAAAAAGGGCCGCGGCCACGUGCAGCCUAUUCGCUGCACUAACUGUGCCCGAUGCGUGCCCAAGGACAAGGCCAUUAAGAAAUUCGUCAUUCGAAACAUAGUGGAGGCCGCAGCAGUCAGGGACAUUUCUGAAGCGAGCGUCUUCGAUGGUAAGUGGGUCACCGGCGCGAACUGUGUGAGGAUCCCAGUAUCUUAAAGCCUUCGCCCAACUUCGCCCUUCUGCAGGCUCUGUUCUUUGGAGCCUCUCAGGCAAUUUCCACGUAUUUAAGGUUGUUACUGGUAGAGAAUUCUCUUGUUUGCUGUUUUGAUUCUUUUCUGGGCAGAGGGUGACUUUGUGAUAGAGUGCACAGCCUUUACUCUGAGGUAAAGGUUUGCCUGUUUCGGUUACGAGAUUGCAAAAACUAGAAACUUGGUAAAUUUGACAAUUCUUGUGCUAUUGAUUAUUUGAGUACUUGUGAAAAUAUACAGGUGAGGAAGAAUGUCUUCAACGUUUCGAGAAUGGAGGCCGUCUAGUUUGGUGUGCAAGGAUGAUGUUUGGAGCAAUAAGAACAUCGCUUUUUUUCCUUUUAUAGAAAGAGCAAGGUUCAGGGUAGGCAUUAGGGCGGGUGUAGGUGUAGAAGGAACUGGAUUAUUGGUUUAUUGCAUUUAGAAUGCCAGUCUGGUCCUUGCGGUGUCAAGAUGAACUCACGUGGGAUGUUAAUUCACUUGUAAAACUGAGGGUUAUACAUAUGUGCUCAGGUAUUGGGCUGAACAGGUGCUUUGGGGGUGCUUUUAUGUGCCCGACAGGCAUUUAAAUAGGUUUAGUUUUAAUUGACGUAAACAUGUAAGGUGCUCUUCAUUCAUGUAACAAAAAAGCAAGGUAGGUAUAUAAUACCAGUAUAACUCUAUUUUCUAUUCCUUAGCCUAUGUGCUUCCCAAGCUGUAUGUGAAGCUACAUUACUGUGUGAGUUGUGCAAUUCACAGCAAAGUAGUCAGGAAUCGAUCUCGUGAAGCCCGCAAGGACCGAACACCCCCACCCCGAUUUAGACCUGCGGGUGCUGCCCCACGUCCCCCACCAAAGCCCAUGUAAGGAGCUGAGUUCUUAAAGACUGAAGACAGGCUAUUCUCUGGAGAAAAAUAAAAUGGAAAUUGUACUUAA